Molecule: long non-coding RNA, 1178 nt
Filed under: Equus caballus (horse)
Lineage: Eukaryota; Metazoa; Chordata; Mammalia; Perissodactyla; Equidae
Description: lncRNA (ENSECAG00000028786.2)
Source: RNAcentral
GAGUGACAGUAGCCAGAGCCAGUGCUCAGCCACCAGGCCUGGGGCCAGUGAGGGGGAGGCGGGGACUGGAGGAAGGAGAGACAGCAGGAGCCAGGCAGGGGCUGAGGGUUGAAAGCAAGACAGCCUACAGGCCUGGAGGGACACGAGCAGCUCCCAGGAGCUAUGGGACUUUGAGGAGAGGAGGACAGAGUAUUUUAAGUUUGGUUGGGCUUCAUGCAGUGGAAUUUCCCCUGGUUACCCCUUAAGAAGAGUUUGCAUUAAGAGCUUCAGUGUGUCUCAAAGUUUUCGAGUCUGAUGGCAGUUCUCAGGAAUAUGGCUCCAGCUUGAGGUGUGCCUUGCAGUGGAAGCAGAUGGGCUGUGUUUUAUUUGAGUUACAGGAGAGCAGAGGCCCCUGUUCUUAAUGCAGCGUUGAGAGUGGAAAGCAGGGAGGAUAUUCAGAGAUGUGAGAAGAUGGGGCUUGGAAACCAGCUGCUGAUCCUCAGAGCACGCCAGCGCACUGGCGUCCCCCAGACGACAUCCAGGUGAUGAGGAUCAAGACUCCCCAGGGAGAGAAGCCCAAGGCGUCCUGCCUACAUGGCAUCUAUGUCAUCCUCCAGGCAGUCUAGGAUGUCCUGACCUAAUCCGACCUGAUUUGUAUCCAAAGUUAUAGGACCAUCCGAUAACCAACCCCAGCUGCACAGAUACCAUUUCAACAACUUUUCUCACUUGACCUUUCCUUUGUCUUGUAAAGAAAUAACUCACAUGCCUAUGCCUUAUAAAUAAGCUCUACUCUCAACCCAUUGCAGCUCUUCAGGCCCACAGGUCCUGUCCCCAUGCCUGCAGGUCUCACUGCCCACGGGUCCUGUCCCCAUGCCUGCAGGUCUCACUGCCCACGGGUCCUGUCCCCACACCUGCAGCUCUCACUGCCCACCACUCCUGUCCCCAUGCUAUUCUCUGAAUAAAGGAGCACUACUACCAGACCUUGAGAGUCCAAGAAAUUUUUCUUUUGACUCCCCACCUUGCAAAGCCCGCAUCACAGGGAGGGGUUGCCUGACCACCGUGCAGGCUGCUCUGCUCUGCUCUGCUUAUCGCCAAGGGAGGCCAGAUAUAGGGGCAUCCCACUCAGUCCCCGACAUCCAACACUGCUCAGGCCCAGCCGCCUCCAAGGAAAUGCCCCUCCCUCAGGGACGGGGACUCCC